This 197-nucleotide unclassified non-coding RNA is filed under the name fungal sp. RNAcentral's name for it is "partial internal transcribed spacer region". The stretch from base 1 to 46 matches the Rfam family "Eukaryotic small subunit ribosomal RNA", at positions 1786 to 1831 of the family's 1831-position model. The record is from RNAcentral. Lineage: Eukaryota; Fungi. RNAcentral also lists the same sequence under 1 other name.
AAGUCGUAACAAGGUUUCCGUAGGUGAACCUGCGGAAGGAUCAUUAACAAUGAAUCUCUUCAUUAACACAGUGUACCGUCGGGUGGGAGUGAGGCCUCGGCUAAUCUCCCGCCCAAACCCCAAACACUACAACUUUAAUCAGAGUCAAAUAACUUUUGUUAUACAGACAACUUUUAGCAACGGAUCUCUAGGUUCUC